Zea mays is the source of this 500-nucleotide long non-coding RNA. RefSeq lists it as uncharacterized. The record is from RefSeq and is a predicted model, not a curated record. The transcript is spliced from 4 exons. Lineage: Eukaryota; Viridiplantae; Streptophyta; Magnoliopsida; Poales; Poaceae.
CAACUGUACCUCCCAGCUCCCCACCUAUGGGAGAUCUUCUCCCCCAUAAUUGCAGAUAAUAUAACACAAGCGCUCAUGUUCCUCUCGCACUUCAUCAGAGACAUACACUAGCCACUUCACUCCGACAAAGGAGGGAACACCGUCGACUUCCACUGGAACCUGGAUGCUAGGGCAUGCUCUGUUUUGUUCACUAAUUGCCCGGUUUGGAACGCCAGCAUCAUCUAGCCGACUAAAGACGACUUCUAUGGAGACAGCGUAGCCGGUUACAUCGACACACUGAAGAAAAACAUAAUGAUAUGGAACUAGGAUAAGAGUUUUCUAUAGAUAGAGAGAAAGAGAGAAGCUAAAUGUUAAUUAUUCAGACCUUUAUUCGCUCGGUAGCACAGAGAAUGGUCGGAGAAGUGUCCAGCUGGGAAGCAUGCGGCAAGAACCAGACUGUAUGUCCAGAUAUGUAUAUAUGCUUUGCUUCACAUUCAGAUUUUUUGUGCUUGGGCAUUUAA